UGCCGAAGUUUUCCUCGGUAGUUAACUGCAGCCGGUUCUAUAAUUCGGCAGUUAACUGCCGAGGAGCAU
Molecule: microRNA precursor, 69 nt
Organism: Medicago truncatula (barrel medic)
Lineage: Eukaryota; Viridiplantae; Streptophyta; Magnoliopsida; Fabales; Fabaceae
Rfam family: MIR2629 microRNA precursor family
Source: Rfam